UAUAUGGUUACUGAAGAAUGCAAAUAUUUUCAAAACGAACAUGGUUUUAAAUAGGUCUUUGCGCCAUUUGGCGCAACUGGUCAUCUAGUUGAACAUAUAAAGGAUGAGCUAGUGCGCCCAACUAGCGGCAUCAGCCACGUCUCCUUUUAUUCCCCUCAUAGUGCCUCGCGAUUUACUGUAGCGUUUCGGCGAGGACAAGUCCCGAGCGCUCUCCUCUUCCUUUCCCCUCGCUCGCUUCCUCCUCCCUCACCUGCAGAACCCUAGCCGCCUCCUCUCAUCUCCCCUAGCCGCCUCCUCUCCUCUCCCCAGCCGCGCCGCAAGGGAGCGUUGCGCGAGCUGCCCCGUGCUCGACGUGCACGUCCUCGGCCCCCGUGCCCCUCCGCUCUCUCCUCCCCCUCCCUGUCUCCAACGGAGCCGAGUCUCUCCGGCGGCGGCGGCGCUCGAUUUGAUCUGCAGGAGAGAGAGAGAGAGAGAGAGAGAGAGAGAGAGAACAUGAGAAGGGGAGAGAUAAGGAAGUAGAGGAGGGACGCCACCAUGGGAGAGCAGGGGCAACAUGGUCUUCGUGGUGGGCAUGGAGGAGCAUAGGAGGAUGCUGGUGCGGGGUGGGGUCAGAGUAGCAGGAGUUCCAGGUGAAGCUCGCGUCAUGGUGGAGUGGAGGAGCUCGUCGUACAUCGCCACCAUCCCCAAUCUAGAUCUGAGAUAUAAAAAGAAAAGAAAUAAUCUCGUGGAAUUUUAGAUCUGCAAUAGAAACGAAGAGAAAUAAUCUUGUGGAAGAGCCUGACUAAAAAGAAAGGGGUGAAUCAUCUGUUUCUCCCAUCCAUGUUUGUUUUUGCAAAUUUUGUUAAGAUGCAGGUUGGCUAUUCUUCCUUGUUGUCAGAAUCUGAAGUAUUUGACCAUCUGUAGCCACUUCUAUCAUGUGUCGUAUCCUUACUCUAUUUCAAGUUAGUUGUUGAUUCAAACAUGUCAAUGAAAGACAAUAAUGUUAAAUUGGUUCCCCAAAGGCCAAGGUGGUGAUGAUCACUUUGUGCUUCUUUUCCUUUCGUUAAAAAAUGAUUCCUCUGGUUGAUGUUGACGUAGGUUUUUAUGGUCAUGUCAACUGGUACUCCAACUGGCACUGAGAUGAGGUAAUGGUGUGGGAAUUGGGGCUGCAAGGACGUGAAAAUGGCCUAGAAGAGAGUUAGCAAUGGCAUGCGUCCUCAAGUAAUUUCUUGCCAAUGAUGAUGGGUGGCGAAUCCGGCAACCACAGAUCCAUUCCCCUGCAUAACUUUCGUUUUUUCAUUUGAUUUGGUACAAGGCCUACUCAGAAUGGGUUCCCUGAUCUCAAAAUUGUCAGUUUUCUUGCCUUUAGUUUAUAGGUACCUUAACAAAUACAUGUAUUUACCAUAUUGGCAGUCAGCACCAUACGGCAUUCAUUCUUCAAGAUCUCAUAUUUGAGGUUAGCAAUUCGAAGUAAUGUGAGAGCUUGCAUGUUUAUAGUUCUAACUAGCUUUUAGUUUAGCGUAGGAUAAAUCUUUCAUGAAUAGUUGGCUUUUUUUUGCUGGCUGUGCAUGACACUGCAAUUUUUUCAUAAUUUUCUUCAAAAAUUAACUAUUUUCUUAUCUCUGACAAUUAACUGGUUGUUGCUCCUAGCCGUUGGCAAGUCUGUCGUCCCUGACCACCCUGUCAGUCAUCUAUACAACUGUGGUUCAUGCCUGCGUGCUAUCCGCUCCUAAAUUCUCACACCAUGUCAAGUAUUUAGAAGUGAUGAUCAUUGUGGUCUUUAGUUGUCAUGGCUGUAAUCCUAGCGCAUGGGCUUUUGCGGGCUGGUCCAACCGGAGUUUGUUGAUGGUAGGGGCUGCGCUCCGGCGACCGUAUGGCUGUAGAAGGGAUGCAAAUGGAAAUAAUUUUGAGAUGCAUAAACUUCCGUCUUUGAAUCAGAAACAGAAAAUUGUUAGUUUUCUCGUUUCUUAGUUAUGCUACCCUGCUGCAUGUAGGUUUUACAGUGAAAAGCUGAAGAAGUUGUGACGACAAUGAAAGGACUGAAAGAUUUGCUCAAAGCAAAGACAUCUAGCCGAGAUACAUGUGGAACGAAGAGGAGGGAUCUUAUGUAGAAUAUGCGACUUCCUUGGUGCUGAAAGUGUGCUAUUAAGUCUCAGUUGCUCCUGCAAAAUAGGAUCUUAAUAAAUAAAGGAUAUGCAUCGCCAAGCAGUUUGUUGUGUAUUUUUUCCCCUUCCAACCUUAUUGAUAUGCCUGUUGCUCAAGGUGUUUUUACUUGUUUACAUGAUUAACAAGUGAAUAUAAAUUUGAAACACAAGUUAAUAAAUUUAGCGCAGUCCUUGCUGAAAUCCGUAUUAUUAUAUGUUGACUUUCCUUUGAAUAAUAUAAGCUGGUCUUGUUGCCGCAAAUGAUUGGAUACGCUUAAUUAUUUUUCAUGCAUACAAGUUGAUUUGGUUAUCCUGUAAUACAUUAUUACAUUUAGUUAAAAAUUUAUGUUUUGUAAUUCAGAUAGGAAACAAUGGUAUGUGAUAAUGCCCUUGCUUCUGACAGGGCCCCUUUUUUUAGUCAUUCAUAUAUGUGUGGGAGGGCUGGCUGUCCACCAUUUGAUGAUAGUAGAAUAGUUGUAAUUAUGACAAGAUGAGGGGCAGUAAUUUUUCUGUGUUUUCUUCCCGUUAAUUCUGAAAUACCUUUGACAUGAAAAUGUUUCCUGUUUUUUGUCUAACCCGUCGUAAGUUUGUCUCGUGGGUCCAUCCAUAUGAGAACCUUCUCAGUGGGUGUCAAAUGGUUGAGUCUCGGUAUGUUCUUUUAAGUUCAAUUGAAAAGUUCUUACGUGAUAUUUUAACUGAAACUUAACUAUGUCAUGGAUGGUACUUCAUUUGAUAUUUUAACUGAAACUUAACUAUGACCAGACCUUCGUCUUGAUUCUUAAUGCCUUCUUCGUUUUAGUCUCCAUCUACAUGUGCAAUUCAUUAUUUUCCUAGAGAUGUCUAUAUAACUGUAUCAUACAUUUUUCCUGCUAUGUAAAUAACACUUCCCUUGGCUUUGGCGGAGGUGGUGCAGGAUUCGUCGCACGCCAAACAGAGCACCCGAGGAGAAGAGGAGAAUGCUAUGAAGAGAGGAAAUGAUAUGUUUUUUGUUUUGUUUUAAGAGCAAGAUAAGAGUUGAUAUGUAGUCCCCUGACUUCUGUACUGAUCCACAACACUUCAAG
Molecule: long non-coding RNA, 3184 nt
Organism: Triticum dicoccoides
Lineage: Eukaryota; Viridiplantae; Streptophyta; Magnoliopsida; Poales; Poaceae
Exons: 4
Source: RefSeq, a predicted model, not a curated record